GGAAGUUCUUGGCUGACACCUUGGAAUCGGGCUCCCUCCUCUUUGGUUCCGGGUGCAUCACCCAAGAACUGCA
Non-coding RNA from Myotis davidii, 73 nucleotides. Lineage: Eukaryota; Metazoa; Chordata; Mammalia; Chiroptera; Vespertilionidae. The record is from Rfam.